Molecule: ribosomal RNA, 492 nt
Filed under: uncultured bacterium
Lineage: Bacteria
Description: partial 16S ribosomal RNA
Rfam family: Bacterial small subunit ribosomal RNA
Source: RNAcentral
AGUGAACGCUGGCGGUAGGCCUAACACAUGCCAGUCGAACGGCAGCACAGUAAGAGCUUGCUCUUACGGGUGGCGAGUGGCGGACGGGUGAGGAAUACAUCGGAAUCUACUUUUUCGUGGGGGAUAACGUAGGGAAACUUACGCUAAUACCGCAUACGACCUACGGGUGAAAGCAGGGGAUCUUCGGACCUUGCGCGAUUGAAUGAGCCGAUGUCGGAUUAGCUAGUUGGCGGGGUAAAGGCCCACCAAGGCGACGAUCCGUAGCUGGUCUGAGAGGAUGAUCAGCCAAACUGGACCUGAGACACGGUCCAGACUCCUACGGGAGGCAGCAGUGGGGAAUAUUGGACAAUGGGCGCAAGCCUGAUCCAGCCAUACCGCGUGGGUGAAGAAGGCCUUCGGGUUGUAAAGCCCUUUUGUUGGGAAAGAAAAGCAGCAGGUUAAUACCCCGCUGUUCUGACGGUACCCAAAGAAUAAGCACCGGCUAACUUCGUG